This 484-nucleotide ribosomal RNA is filed under the name uncultured bacterium. Its description in RNAcentral is "partial 16S ribosomal RNA". It matches the Rfam family "Bacterial small subunit ribosomal RNA", at positions 30 to 507 of the family's 1533-position model. The record is from RNAcentral.
AUUGAACGCUGGCGGCAGGCCUAACACAUGCAAGUCGAGCGGAUGAAGGGAGCUUGCUCCUGGAUUCAGCGGCGGACGGGUGAGUAAUGCCUAGGAAUCUGCCUGGUAGUGGGGGAUAACGUCCGGAAACGGGCGCUAAUACCGCAUACGUCCUGAGGGAGAAAGUGGGGGAUCUUCGGACCUCACGCUAUCAGAUGAGCCUAGGUCGGAUUAGCUAGUUGGUGGGGUAAAGGCCUACCAAGGCGACGAUCCGUAACUGGUCUGAGAGGAUGAUCAGUCACACUGGAACUGAGACAAGGUCCAGACCCCUACGGGAGGCAGCAGUGGGGAAUAUUGGACAAUGGGCGAAAGCCUGAUCCAGCCAUGCCGCGUGGGUGAAGAAGGUCUUCGGAUUGUAAAGCACUUUAAGUUGGGAGGAAGGGCAGUAAGUUAAUACCUUGCUGUUUUGACGUUACCAACAGAAUAAGCACCGGCUAACUUCGUG